This 64-nucleotide transfer RNA is filed under the name Georissa bangueyensis. RNAcentral's name for it is "tRNA-Leu". The record is from RNAcentral. Lineage: Eukaryota; Metazoa; Mollusca; Gastropoda; Cycloneritida; Hydrocenidae.
AUUAAGAUGGCAGACAAGUGCAUUAAGUUUAAGCCUUAAAUAUGAAUAAUUUAUUCUCUUAAUA